Molecule: ribosomal RNA, 401 nt
Filed under: uncultured Porphyromonadaceae bacterium
Lineage: Bacteria; Pseudomonadati; Bacteroidota; Bacteroidia; Bacteroidales; Porphyromonadaceae
Description: bacterial SSU rRNA
Rfam family: Bacterial small subunit ribosomal RNA
Source: RNAcentral
UGAGGAAUAUUGGUCAAUGGGCGCGAGCCUGAACCAGCCAAGUAGCGUGAGGGAUGACUGCCCUAUGGGUUGUAAACCUCUUUUGAUUGGGAACAAAGAGCGCCACGUGUGGUGCGUUGCGUGUACCUUUCGAAUAAGCAUCGGCUAAUUCCGUGCCAGCAGCCGCGGUAAUACGGAAGAUGCGAGCGUUAUCCGGAUUUAUUGGGUUUAAAGGGAGCGUAGGCGGGCUGUUAAGUCAGCGGUCAAAUGUCAGGGCCCAACCUUGGCAUGCCGUUGAAACUGCGAGACUGGAGUGCGACAGAGGAAGGCGGAAUGCGAGGUGUAGCGGUGAAAUGCAUAGAUAUCGCGCAGAACUCCGAUUGCGAAGGCAGCCUUCCAUGUCGUGACUGACGCUGAGGCAC